GCAAAUGGUGAUUGGCUAGCUCAAAGAAGUAAAGAGGAUAAGGGUUCAAGAUUUAAGACAAGAAAAGUGAAGACUUUGGUAGGGAUUGAGGAUGCAAAUUGGUCAAGAAAGACUAUUAAAAUCUUGAGGGGGAAAAAAGAAAAUAGAAAAAAGAGGAGAGAGAAGAGAGAAGAGAGGUGCAAUCACCAUUUAAUAGAAGUAUAAAAUACACAAAAUGAAUCUUUUAGUGAUUUUGAUAUUUAAACCAUAUGAGAAUUUUAUGCAAAAACAUAUAAUUAUCAGAGGAUUUAUAAACUCAUUGAGCU
This 305-nucleotide long non-coding RNA is filed under the name Gossypium barbadense (sea-island cotton). RNAcentral describes it as "long non-coding RNA (GBAR_LNC001338)". Lineage: Eukaryota; Viridiplantae; Streptophyta; Magnoliopsida; Malvales; Malvaceae. The record is from RNAcentral.